CAAUGCUGAAGAAUAGGGCUACCUACUUUUGAAAAGGGCUUUUAUGUGUUUGACAAUAAUUAAAAGUAUUCGACUUGGAGUUUAUUUCCCCCCCCCCAAAAAAUCACAACGUACACUGAGAAAAUAAAUUAUGAGGUAUGUCAAAACAUGUUUUCUGAGAGGGUGGGGUUUGUUAUGCUUGUGCCGUGGCAACUACCAAUGAGAGGAGCGUAUUUGAAAUACGUCAUGGAGCACCACUUUCGAAAUGUCCUAUUUGACAUGAACUGAGCUGAUCGUUACUAAACUAACUGGAUCUCAAGCCUUGACUACUUUUUCCUGCUGCUUGACUGUGGCUAAUAACAUUUUUAAAAAGAAGGGAAAAUGAACUCUGGAAAAGCACUGCAGUCGCUGUCUCACAACAAUCAACAGCCGCCGCCGCCGACACCAAGCCUGGCGAAAAGAAAGAAAAUUCAAGAUAAGUCUGCAAUAAGGAGUCCAACAGACAAUGUGAUGUCCCCAUGUACAAGACAGCUCAUGAAGAAAGCUAUCAAGGACAUACCGUCAUCUCCCAGACCCAGACGGAAAGCAAAAGAGAACACUGCAAAUAAAUGAAUGACCUUUUUAUGUACAGUGUGAUGUCUUUACGGUAUUCCUCUCUCUGCUAAAAUGGUCAGAUCAAUCAAUCAUUGACACUUUCCUGACAUUAUACUGUCUUAAGAUGUUCUUACUAACCAAGCUGCUCACACUUUAUUGAUCCAUUAUGCAAUAUGGUGUAUAUGGGGGGGGGUUAUAUUCCUCAUUAAUAUGGUGUAAAUGUGGGGGGGUUAUAUUCUUCAUUAAUAUGGUGUAUAUGGGGGGGGGGUUAUAUUCUUCAUUAAUAUGGUGUAUAUGGGGGGGGGUUGUUAUAUUCUUCAUCUAAAUCACACUGUUUGUGUUUUUCAUUGUUUUUCUUGUGAAUGUUUAAUGCUAUUUGCACUUUAGAGGACAUAUGCUGUUUAUUGUACACUGCUUUAAGUGGUGGAGGUGUUUAUUGUACACUGCUUUAAGUGGUGGGGGUGUUUAUUGUACACUGCUUUAAGUGGUGGGGUGUUUAUUGUACACUGCUUUAAGUGGUGGGGUGUUUAUUGUACACUGCUUUAAGUGGUGGGGGUGUUUAUUGUACACUGCUUUAAGUGGUGGGGGGUGUUUAUUGUACACUGCUUUAAGUGGUGGGGGUGUUUAUUGUACACUGCUUUAAGUGGUGGGGUGUUAUUGCUACACAUGCAUUUAAGUGGUGGGGGUGUUAUCUCAAACAAGUGUUCUGUAUGUAUGCCCUUUGCACAGGUUGACUUCCAUGGUUUUAAAAAAUUAAGUAGACUACUUUAUAUUCUGUUUGUACAUUGGCUUUAUGUUGCUCAGUUUUCAAUAUGUAACUAGCAAAAAAAGGACUUAGCUCACUGCUUUCAAUAAACAUAUUUGAUAUGGACGAGA
Salvelinus sp. IW2-2015 is the source of this 1449-nucleotide long non-coding RNA. RefSeq lists it as uncharacterized. NCBI's taxonomy places the organism in Eukaryota, Metazoa, Chordata, Actinopteri, Salmoniformes, Salmonidae. The record is from RefSeq and is a predicted model, not a curated record.